AAGUGCCUCAAAAGGAAUAAA
This 21-nucleotide small nuclear RNA is filed under the name Arabidopsis thaliana (thale cress). RNAcentral describes it as "snRNA_06255". The record is from RNAcentral. Lineage: Eukaryota; Viridiplantae; Streptophyta; Magnoliopsida; Brassicales; Brassicaceae.